AACUAUCUAUUUAAACUUUUCCUAACGAAAUACAUAAUUCAAAACAUGCAUUUAAUCUCCCUGUUUAAGUCAUAUUUUCAUACAACAACAACAAAAAAACUCAGUGAAACGCCACAAAUGCUAAUGUUGGUUUCUAAUUCAUGGCAUAUUUUCGUGUUCCAAGAAAAAUUGGAAAUAACAUUGAGGGUAUCGAAUCAACUUAUGGCUUUAUUCUGCAACUCAUCUUUCAGCUCAAUUAGGUUCAAUUAGGAGAUGUCCUGUUGUUUUUCAUGACCUCUUUUUAUAAGUGGAAAUUUAUUUUUGACUUCGUUUAAUUCAGCAUAGAAAGAUAAUUACAGCAGAUUCGAUACUUGCCUGUUAAAUCGGCACUAAAGAAGGUAGCUCCAAUUAACAUUGAAACUUCAAAAUUAGCUUCCCUGAGUAUUGACUGCGACGAUUAACAUAUGCACCAUACACUUUCUUAGUCAUACAAUCUUAACAACAGCUAAAAGAUGUAAAAGUUAACCUUUGAAAUGAACUUAUAAACAUUAGCAUCAAUCAAUAUAUGAAAUGGUACAACGGUGAUAAAACUGGUCUAGAUACCACCACCAUAAAAAGAUUUAGAAAGUAAAUCCAAAAGAUAGAGCGCACCUGUUUGUGACGCGCUGACCACUUUCUGUGACGGUGACAGAGGGGGAAGACUCUUUUGCGAGAGAGUUGAAGAACCUGUUUGAGGUAGGGAGGUAGGGGUGGACAUCCGAUAUUUCGGUACGGUUCGAUAUUUAUUAUUUUGUUUCGGUACGUUUUCGAUACGAUUUAAUAUCCGUUGAUAAAGAAAAAU
Molecule: long non-coding RNA, 820 nt
Filed under: Nicotiana benthamiana
Lineage: Eukaryota; Viridiplantae; Streptophyta; Magnoliopsida; Solanales; Solanaceae
Description: long non-coding RNA (NBEN_LNC037799)
Source: RNAcentral